UGAAUACGAGAUGCUACGGCAUUGAAGCAGUCUAUGUCAGACUUCCAAGAAAAGCUCGCAAUGUCAUAAACAAUUAAUGCCUGUACCAUAACCGACACAGGUGGGUAGGUAGAGUAUACUAAGGGGCGCGAGAUAACUCUCUCUAAGGAACUCGGCAAAAUGACUCCGUAACUUCGGGAGAAGGAGUGCCUUAUUUUAUAAGGUUGCAAUAACAAGAUCCAAGCAACUGUUUACCAAAAACACAGGUCUCCGCUAAGUCGUAAGACGAUGUAUGGGGGCUGACGCCUGCCCAGUGCCAGAAGGUUAAAGAAGUUGGUUAGCCUAGCGAAGCUGAUGACUGAAGCCCUGGUGAACGGCGGCCGUAACAAUAACGGUCCUAAGGUAGCGAAAUUCCUUGUCGGGUAAGUUCCGACCCGCACGAAAGGCGUAAUGAUUUGGAUACUGUCUCGGAGAGGGGCUCGGUGAAAUAGACUUGUCUGUGAAGAUGCGGACUACCUGCACCUGGACAGAAAGACCCUAUGAAGCUUUACUGUAACUUGAGAUUGAAAUUGGACUUUAUUUGCGCAGUAUAGGUGGGAGACGUUGAGAAUAUUCUUGCGGGAAUAUUGGAGUCAUCAGUGAGAUACCACUCUUGUAACGUUAGAUUUCUAACUUUGAAUCAUUAUCUGGUCAAAGAACAGUCUCAGGCGGGCAGUUUGACUGGGGCGGUCGCCUCCUAAACGGUAACGGAGGCGCACAAAGGUUUCCUCUGAACGUGUAGAAAUCGUAUCUAGAGUGUAAAGGCAUAAGGAAGCUUGACUGUGAGACCUACAAGUCGAGCAGGGACGAAAGUCGGUCUUAGUGAUCUGACGGUGCUGAGUGGAAAGGCCGUCACUCAACGGAUAAAAGUUACUCUAGGAUAACAGGCUGAUCUCCCCCAAGAGUUCACAUCGACGGGGAGGUUUGGCACCUCGAUGUCGGCUCAUCGCAUCCUGGGGCGGUAGUACGUCCCAAGGGUUGGGCUGUUCGCCCAUGAAAGCGGUACGCGAGCUGGGUUCAGAACGUCGUGAGACAGUUCGGUCCAUAUCCGGUGUAGGCGUUAGAAUAUUGAGAGGAGCCUUCUUUAGUACGAGAGGACCGAGAAGGACGUACCUCUGGUGUACCAGUUAUCGUGCCAACGGUAAACGCUGGGUAGCUAUGUAUGGAGUGGAUAACCGCUGAAGGCAUCUAAGUGGGAAGCCCACCUCAAGAUAAGUAUUCUCAC
This 1243-nucleotide ribosomal RNA is filed under the name metagenome. RNAcentral describes it as "bacterial LSU rRNA". It matches the Rfam family "Bacterial large subunit ribosomal RNA", at positions 1564 to 2817 of the family's 2925-position model. The record is from RNAcentral.